CUUAUCUUAGUUUAUCUAGAAUGAAAGUUUUGGGGACUUUUGGUCUCUAACUGAGAGAUUUGA
RNAcentral lists this transfer RNA (63 nucleotides) under Rhinebothrium sp. 1. RNAcentral describes it as "tRNA-Pro". The record is from RNAcentral. Lineage: Eukaryota; Metazoa; Platyhelminthes; Cestoda; Rhinebothriidea; Rhinebothriidae.